This 33-nucleotide non-coding RNA is filed under the name unclassified sequences. Its description in RNAcentral is "DUF805b RNA". It matches the Rfam family "DUF805b RNA". Rfam says of the family: Bacteroidetes, Chlorobi (1 example), Proteobacteria. Lineage (Flavobacteria) The record is from RNAcentral.
GCGGCGGAAUCCGAAAAGCCGACAGAGUAGGAA